GGCGAGUUUGUAAAAAGAUGGAGCAAUAAUUUGUACAUUUUAAAUUUUAUAAAAAGCCGAUUUCAAUCAUGUUUUCUUGUCGAUUGGAUGAUACUCUUUUGUUUAUGCCUUCUAAACAAUGUCCUCCAUUUCUUUAUAUUAUCCGAAAACCCAAAAAAUAUCAUAAACUAAAGACAAUCCAGAUCAUGGCUCCUUAUUUAAAAUCGAUGUUGCAUUUAUGUUGAAGAGUUCUGUAGAAGAAGCCUCUCACAUAUCCUUCAAACAAAACUUGAAGCCUAUCAGCCAAAAAAAAAAAAGGUAAAGAAAUAAACUGAUUACAAAAAAAUGCAAGGAACAAAGGCAAAUAUUACGAUCUGAAAUGAUGAAGAAACCUACCGCUGUCUCCG
RNAcentral lists this long non-coding RNA (386 nucleotides) under Capsella rubella. RNAcentral describes it as "long non-coding RNA (CRUB_LNC002108)". The record is from RNAcentral. Lineage: Eukaryota; Viridiplantae; Streptophyta; Magnoliopsida; Brassicales; Brassicaceae.